CUUCUCUCUAAAUAUCUCUCAUCUUACUUCAUUUGAUUUUCAAUCAGACUGAGCUUAAGUAAUUUUGGAGUCAAAGACAUCCUUUUCCACCGAUCAAAGUCUUGUUUAAAGCUGUUUAUCCUCAUCAAUCAGUGAGCUAUAGGUGUUCUUGGGAUUUUCUGGAAGUGUGAGCAAAUUUCUGGAAGGGUAGAAGAUUCCUGUUCGGUUAAGAGUGUGAGCUUAGGGAUACAGUCUUUUCAGUUGGAGCAGCUGAAGGGGGGAGGGAGUGCAACUGAUAGUAUAGGUAGUUAUUUUUGCUCUUCAGUUGAAAUUUUUAUUCACCAAAUUUGUAGUUUUGUUUUAUCAUUAUCCAUGUAAUGUUUCAUUUUAGUAAUUUUCUAUUACUAAAUUGGAAUGUUACGUU
Molecule: long non-coding RNA, 403 nt
Organism: Vigna angularis (adzuki bean)
Lineage: Eukaryota; Viridiplantae; Streptophyta; Magnoliopsida; Fabales; Fabaceae
Exons: 3
Source: RefSeq, a predicted model, not a curated record